GCGCCCUCCGCAGUCUCUUCAAAUUGUCAUCCCACCCUGACAGCUGCACUGCAUCAGUGGUGACAGGUCCAGGAACGCAGGCAGUGAAAAGAAGAGAUUGGACCUGGAAAAGAAACUUUAUGAACAUAAUCAAUCUGACAUAUGCAGCAGGUAGUGAUCUCAGCUGGUCUUGAACCGCAAACUGGCUCCUGGCUGCAGCUCCAGCCUCAGUUCAGAUCUUCUGUUGUUAGCGAGUGGCUUGCGCAUGCGUGGUUCAGUCCGUCAGAAAGGUGAGGGCAGAGUCUGAAGUUUCCCCUGCACAUUUCUUCCC
This is a long non-coding RNA of Diceros bicornis minor, 310 nucleotides long. RefSeq lists it as uncharacterized. The record is from RefSeq and is a predicted model, not a curated record. The transcript is spliced from 3 exons. NCBI's taxonomy places the organism in Eukaryota, Metazoa, Chordata, Mammalia, Perissodactyla, Rhinocerotidae.